UCGGUAAGGCACCCUAUCGCUGCUAUAAAUUGUAGGAGAGGAAAGUCCGGGCAAGGUAGGGCACCACGCUAUCUAACAGAUAGAUACCUGCGAAGGUAUGUCAGCGUAACAGAAAACAACCGCCUAGUUUGGACAUAUUUCCUUUUACUGGGUAAGGGUGAAAAGGUGGGGUAAGAGCCCACCGGCAACUAUGACAACAUAGUUGGCCGUACGUGCCGUGGCUUGCAAGACCGCGUAUAUCGGCGUCUAAGGGUUGCCCGCCCAAUGCCGAGGGGUAGGUAGCUUGAGCUAAAUGGUAACAUUUAGCCUAGAUAAAUGAUAGGGCUCGACAGCACCCGGCUUAUAGCCUUACCGAUUUU
This 359-nucleotide RNase P RNA is filed under the name Prevotellaceae bacterium. RNAcentral's name for it is "RNase P RNA component class A". It matches the Rfam family "Bacterial RNase P class A". Rfam says of the family: Ribonuclease P (RNase P) is a ubiquitous endoribonuclease, found in archaea, bacteria and eukarya as well as chloroplasts and mitochondria. Its best characterised activity is the generation of mature 5'-ends of tRNAs by cleaving the 5'-leader elements of precursor-tRNAs. Lineage: Bacteria; Pseudomonadati; Bacteroidota; Bacteroidia; Bacteroidales; Prevotellaceae. The record is from RNAcentral.